Molecule: unclassified non-coding RNA, 247 nt
Filed under: Hevea brasiliensis (rubber tree)
Lineage: Eukaryota; Viridiplantae; Streptophyta; Magnoliopsida; Malpighiales; Euphorbiaceae
Source: RNAcentral
UGACAGUCUCCCUCCCUUCUCCACAGCUGAGAUAGGCAAACCUGACUUCAAGCUGGAGGUGAUUGAAAGCCAAAAGAAAACCACCCUGUAUGUGACUGACCCACUCACCGCCCUGUUUAAAGAUGGCCACCAGCUGAACAUCAGGGAUAUCUUUGCUGACCAGCUGCACUAUAAAGUCACCUAUCGGAAAAACAAAAGCACUGGAAAGGUGAGUAAAAGGAGACAUCACGAUAUCGGUCUCAAACAG